This 502-nucleotide ribosomal RNA is filed under the name uncultured bacterium. Its description in RNAcentral is "partial 16S ribosomal RNA". It matches the Rfam family "Bacterial small subunit ribosomal RNA", at positions 28 to 507 of the family's 1533-position model. The record is from RNAcentral.
GAUUAACGCUGGCGGCGUGCCUAACGCAUGCAAGUCGAGCGGCAGCGAGUUUUACACUGAAUUCUGGAAGCUUCUAGUUGAAAGAGAAGAUUUAUUCAAGAAUUUUGUGUAAAAUGUCGGCGAGCGGCGGACGGCUGAGUAACGCGUGGGAACGUACCCCAAAGUGAGGGAUAACGCAUCGAAAGGUGUGCUAAUACCGCAUAUGGUCUUCGGAUUAAAGCCUUCGGGCGCUUUGGGAACGGCCUGCGUAAGAUUAGAUAGUUGGUGGGGUAAUGGCCUACCAAGUCGACGAUCUUUAACUGGUUUGAGAGGAUGAUCAGUCAGACUGGAACUGAGACACGGUCCAGACUCCUACGGGAGGCAGCAGUGAGGAAUCUUCCACAAUGGGCGAAAGCCUGAUGGAGCAACGCCGCGUGCAGGAUGAAGGCCUUCGGGUUGUAAACUGCUUUUAUAAGUGAGGAUUAUGACAGUAACUUAUGAAUAAGAAUCGGCUAACUACGUG